Molecule: ribosomal RNA, 606 nt
Filed under: Bacillus sp. (in: firmicutes)
Lineage: Bacteria; Bacillati; Bacillota; Bacilli; Caryophanales; Bacillaceae
Description: bacterial SSU rRNA
Rfam family: Bacterial small subunit ribosomal RNA
Source: RNAcentral
CCCUCUUUGUGCUGCAAAGAUCGCCAGAAUCACUCCACCCGGAGAGUACGAUCGCAAGACUGACACAUAAAAAAAAAGAAGGGGCCCCGCACAACCUGGGGGCCCAUGUGUUCAAAUCAAAAGCUAGCGAGAAAACCUUUUACCGGGUCUGGACACCCUGAGACAACCGUAGAUAUAGGGUGUCCCUUUGGGGGGCAGAGUCCCAGGUGGUGCAGGGUUGUUGUCACCUCGUGUCGAGAGAUGUUGGGUUAAGUCCCGCAACGAGCGCAACCCUUGAUUUUAGUUCCCAGCAUUCAGUUGGGCACUCUAAGGUGACUGCCGGUGACAAACCGGAGGAAGGUGGGGAUGACGUCAAAUCAUCAUGCCCCUUAUGACCUGGGCUACACACGUGCUACAAUGGACAGAACAAAGGGCAGCGAAACCGCGAGGUUAAGCCAAUCCCACAAAUCUGUUCUCAGUUCGGAUCGCAGUCUGCAACUCGACUGCGUGAAGCUGGAAUCGCUAGUAAUCGCGGAUCAGCAUGCCGCGGUGAAUACGUUCCCGGGCCUUGUACACACCGCCCGUCACACCACGAGAGUUUGUAACACCCGAAGUCGGUGAGGUAAC